Molecule: ribosomal RNA, 441 nt
Filed under: Bacillus cereus
Lineage: Bacteria; Bacillati; Bacillota; Bacilli; Caryophanales; Bacillaceae
Description: bacterial SSU rRNA
Rfam family: Bacterial small subunit ribosomal RNA
Source: RNAcentral
GAGCUUGCUCUUAUGAAGUUAGCGGCGGACGGGUGAGUAACACGUGGGUAACCUGCCCAUAAGACUGGGAUAACUCCGGGAAACCGGGGCUAAUACCGGAUAACAUUUUGAACCGCAUGGUUCGAAAUUGAAAGGCGGCUUCGGCUGUCACUUAUGGAUGGACCCGCGUCGCAUUAGCUAGUUGGUGAGGUAACGGCUCACCAAGGCAACGAUGCGUAGCCGACCUGAGAGGGUGAUCGGCCACACUGGGACUGAGACACGGCCCAAACUUCUGACGGGAGGCAGCAGUUGGGAAUCCUUCCGCAUUGGACGAAGGUCUGACGAACAACGCCGCCGUGAGUGAUGGAGGCUUUCGGGUCGAAAAUUUUUGGUUGGGAAGAACAAGUCCAAUUGAAAAAGCUGGCCCCUGGCGGUCCCUACCGAAGGCAGGCCAAAUACGUG